GAUCCUGGCUCAGGAUGAACGCUGGCGGCGUGCUUAACACAUGCAAGUCGAACGAAGAUGCCGGAGUGCUUGCACUUUGGCAGACUGAGUGGCGGACGGGUGAGUAACGCGUGGGUAACCUGCCUUAUACAGGGGGAUAACAGUUGGAAACGACUGCUAAUACCGCAUAAGCGCACGGUAUCGCAUGAUACAGUGUGAAAAACUCCGGUGGUAUAAGAUGGACCCGCGUCUGAUUAGCUAGUUGGUGAGGUAACGGCCCACCAAGGCGACGAUCAGUAGCCGGCCUGAGAGGGUGAACGGCCACAUUGGGACUGAGACACGGCCCAAACUCCUACGGGAGGCAGCAGUGGGGAAUAUUGCACAAUGGGGGAAACCCUGAUGCAGCGACGCCGCGUGAGUGAUGAAGUAUUUCGGUAUGUAAAACUCUAUCAGCAGGGAAGAUAAUGACGGUACCUGACUAAGAAGCACCGGCUAAAUACGUG
RNAcentral lists this ribosomal RNA (482 nucleotides) under uncultured bacterium. Its description in RNAcentral is "bacterial SSU rRNA". It matches the Rfam family "Bacterial small subunit ribosomal RNA", at positions 15 to 507 of the family's 1533-position model. The record is from RNAcentral.